Molecule: long non-coding RNA, 2225 nt
Filed under: Pomacea canaliculata
Lineage: Eukaryota; Metazoa; Mollusca; Gastropoda; Architaenioglossa; Ampullariidae
Description: uncharacterized LOC112559764
Source: RNAcentral
UGUAGGCGAAUCGAAUCAAAGAGGCACAAGUUCAGAGGAAUGUCACUAAGACAGUUAUAAUGAGAGUUUAUUACCGUCACUCAUCGUGCAGUGCAAUUUUCCCCCAUCACCACCACACACCAUCAGCCCACCUGGUCACAGCGCCUGAGAUGAUAAACGGCGACGUGGCAAACGGCAGACCCCAACCUCUCCCCCACUCACUACACCACCCCUGAAUUUGUUCGAGGGAAAGCGUUGACGCCCAUGUGAUCAGCUCUAUAAAGACGAGCUAUUUUCGACGUGGCAGUAUCAGUCACAGGUAACUCUUACCCGGUAAAGAGUCUCAGACUGAACAAAAAGGGCAAGAUUUAGGAAGGUGUGAUAGGUUGACUUACCAAACAAUGUCGACUGUCCAUGCACUACUGUGUCUCUGUAGCCUCACCUUGUUCAUCGCUGCGGACUGCAAGGUGUUCACUCCAGAACUGACUUCUAAAAUUGAAGAGUUCGUGAAAAAAUACAUGCAGGCAUAUGGGCCUGUCGGCCUUUCCUUGGCCGUCGUCAAGGGCAACGAGACGUGGACUCGAGGAUUCAUGACCGACAAAGCCUCACAACGACCGAUCGAUUCUUCCACCUUGUUUGCCCUCACGUGGUCGACCACAGUCUUCACAUCAACUCUGCUGGGUAUGCUGAUGGAUGAGAGUAAGAGCGGAUACACAUGGAAUACACCAGUCAAAGACAUCCUUGGCAGCGACUUUCAGCUGGAAAACGACUACAUCACCAAUCACACGACACUCAAAGACAUUCUUACGGGGAGGACGGGUUUAACUAACAACAUCACACCCUUAUUUGCUGGCUUGGAAAUAUCGAGGCAAAAUUUAACGAGACGGCUUCAGUAUUUACCUGCAGCGAGGAGUUUCGUGACGUGUUGAACGACAACCAUCUGGAUGUACGUACUGGCCGGGAGGGUCGCCGAGGUGAUGGGCGGAGCAUCGUGGGAGGAACUUCUCCACCAACGCAUCUUUCAGCCUUUGCAGAUGAACUGACAGCCGGGUCAUCGGGUACAAUGUGAAGGUGGAUGCGGACAACUUCGCCUUGCCUUAUGUUUGGCUCAGGAAUGACGUGGUGCUGUCGGAUAGCGCGAUUUACAGAUUCACACCAGCGGAGCCCACGAUCGGAAUCGCGACCUCAGCAGGCGACAUGGCCAAGUGGUUGUCUUUUCAUUUGCGGGAAGGGAAGACGGCGGACGGAGUGCCUCUUCUCAAGAAGAAAACCCUCAAGGAAACAUAUAAGUUGCAAAUGGCUCUUCCUCAUACUUGGAACUUCGCUAAGAAGCCUGAGGACCCAGUAACCUUCAGCGUCUACGGCACUGGUUUCUCCUGGUUAUUUGUCCUACUACCGAGGUUACCAAGUGGAAUGUACGGCGGGACCAUUAUACAGCUACGACAGCUUUAUAGCCCUUAUUAGAGAUGUAGACCUCGGCAUAUACUUCAGCACUACUGCUUUGUUCGACACGUACCUGCAUACACGAUUUGAAAUCUUCUACUACAUCGUUGACUUACUUCUUGGAGAAGAUCCUUGGCGAAACACAACCACCUUCCCCAAGUUCUCUCUUGCACCAGAUCGAAACGCUACCAACACUACCUAUACUCCUUUUGUUGUCCCAGGUAUCGUGGAAAAUCCUGAACUGUUUGAAGGAACCUACGGUAACAGGCUGUUCGGGGACGUUUCCAUCUCCCGCAACACAAGCGGUGAACUACUAGUCAGCUACGGCCGCAUCUUAGGCAAACUGCGGAAAACCAAUAGCACCAACGUCCUACUGGCAGACCUCUAUGGCCCCUUGGAGUUUUUAUACACAUAGCGGAGAUGACGUGGAGUACAUCAACAUCACCUUCACCUCACCAGGUGAAUUUGGUCAGUACCAGUCGCUUAUGUUGAGUUACUACGAUGACCCGCUUCUGUUCCAGCGUAAUAUCACUUUUCAGAAGUAGCAACAAGUAACGGUACCAGCGGACACAAUCAGCCGUCAUCUCUCCUGGCACUUUAGUACAACAACUUUAGAGAACAAUGUCCAUGAAAGCAAUAAAAGCGAGCUCGUUUAAACAAUUCCAUAUUAUUGUAGAAAAUAUACUUUUUAUGUGAUGAUUAUAUUUAAAGAAAACCACAUUUAUAUAGGAUGUUGUAUAGGGACUAAAUAUAUCAUCAAAUUUCUUGGAAAUGUUUGACUGAAGAAGCAUGGUCCAUCUUUU